GGCCUAGUAGCUUAAGAUUUAAAGCACUGGUCUUGUAAACCAAAAACUG
This 49-nucleotide transfer RNA is filed under the name Podarcis pityusensis. Its description in RNAcentral is "partial tRNA-Thr". The record is from RNAcentral. Lineage: Eukaryota; Metazoa; Chordata; Lepidosauria; Squamata; Lacertidae.